Gorilla gorilla gorilla (western lowland gorilla) is the source of this 107-nucleotide small nuclear RNA. The record is from Ensembl. Lineage: Eukaryota; Metazoa; Chordata; Mammalia; Primates; Hominidae.
GUGCUAGCUUCUGCAGCACAUAUACUAAAAUUGGAAUGACACAUAGAAGAUUAGCAUGGCCCCUGUGCAAGGAUGACAUGCAAAUUCAUGAAGUGUUCCAUAUUUUU